Dioscorea cayenensis subsp. rotundata (Guinea yam) is the source of this 107-nucleotide small nucleolar RNA. NCBI's taxonomy places the organism in Eukaryota, Viridiplantae, Streptophyta, Magnoliopsida, Dioscoreales, Dioscoreaceae. The record is from RefSeq and is a predicted model, not a curated record.
AACCUAUGAUGAGGACAUUUCCUUAGUAAUUCCUUGUAUCUAUCCCAUGCCUCAUAUAAAGUCUUGCCUUGGUAUUGUGAAAAAUUGUUGAUUUCAAUCCGCAUCUU